GACGAACGCUGGCGGCGUGCUUAACACAUGCAAGUCGAACGGAAAGGCCCUGCUUUUGUGGGGUGCUCGAGUGGCGAACGGGUGAGUAACACGUGAGUAACCUGCCCUUGACUUUGGGAUAACUUCAGGAAACUGGGGCUAAUACCGGAUAGGAGCUCCUGCUGCAUGGUGGGGGUUGGAACGUUUCGGCGGUUGGGGAUGGACUCGCGGCUUAUCAGCUUGUUGGUGGGGUAGUGGCUUACCAAGGCUUUGACGGGUAGCCGGCCUGAGAGGGUGACCGGCCACAUGGGGACUGAGAUACGGCCCAGACGCCUACGGGAGGCAGCAGGGGGGAAUAUUGCACAAUGGGCGGAAGCCGGAUGCAGCAACGCCGCGUGCGGGAUGACGGCCUUCGGGUUGUAAACCGCUUUCGCCUGUGACGAAGCGUGAGUGACGGUAAUGGGUAAAGAAGCACCGGCUAACUACGU
This 467-nucleotide ribosomal RNA is filed under the name uncultured bacterium. RNAcentral's name for it is "partial 16S ribosomal RNA". It matches the Rfam family "Bacterial small subunit ribosomal RNA", at positions 28 to 506 of the family's 1533-position model. The record is from RNAcentral.